UACACAGACCCUACUAGAAUAAACAGACUAUACCAGAAUACACAAACCAAUACUAGAAUACACAGACCAUACUAGAAUACACAGACCAUACUAGAAUACACAGACCAUACUAGAAUACACAGACCCUACUAUAAUAAACAGACUAUACCAGAAUACACAAACCAAUACUAGAAUACACAGACCAUACUAUAAUACACAGACCAUACUAUAAUACACAGACCAUACUAUAAUACACAGACCAUACUAGAAUACACAGACCAUACUAGAAUACACAGACCAUACUAGAAUACACAGACCAUACUAGAAUACACAGACCAUACUAGAAUACACAGACCCUACUAGAAUACACAGAUCGGAAUGGUCUGUUCUGUCAGAGGAUGAUGGUCACAUCGCAUUCUACCUCCCAUGCAGAAUCACCAAUGCAUCGCUCCCUCUCUCUGUCCCCCUCUGUCUCCCUCCCGCUCUUAUAUCUCCCCGCGUCUAUCCCCUCUGCUCCCUCCUAACAGGUAGACACAGGCCUCAUCUCCCUCCUAACAGGCCUCAGCUCCCUCCUAAAAGGUAGACACAGGCCUCAGCUCCCUCCUAACAGGCCUCAGCUCCCUACUAACAGGCCUCAGCUCCCUACUAACAGGCCUCAGCUCCCUACUAACAGGCCUCAGCUCCCUACUAACAGGCCUCAGCUCCCUACUAACAGGUAGACACAGGCCCCAGCUCCCUCCUAACAGGUAGACACAGGCCUCAGCUCCCUCCUAACAGGCCUCAGCUCCCUACUAACAGGCCCCAGCUCCCUCCUAACAGGUAGACACAGGCCCCAGCUCCCUCCUAACAGGUAGACACAGGCCCCAGCUCCCUGCUAACAGGCCUCAGCUCCCUGCUAACAGGCCUCAGCUCCCUGCUAACAGGCCUCAGCUCCCUCCUAACAGGUAGACACAGGCCUCAGCUCCCUGCUAACAGGUAGAGACAGGCCUCAGCUCCCUGCUAACAGGUAGACACAGGCCUCAGCUCCCUGCUAACAGGUAGACACAGGCCUCAGCUCCCUGCUAACAGGUAGACACAGGCCUCAGCUCCCUGCUAACAGGUAGACACAGGCCUCAGCUCCCUCCUAACAGGUAGAGACAGGCCCCAGCUCCCUCCUAACAGGCCUCAGCUCCCUCCUAACAGGUAGACACAGGCCUCAGCUCCCUCCUAACAGGUAGACACAGGCCUCAGCUCCCUCCUAACAGGUAGACACAGGCCUCAGCUCCCUCCUAACAGGUAGACACAGGCCUCUGCUCCCUCCUAACAGGUAGACACAGGCCCCAGCUCCCUCCUAACAGGCCUCAGCUCCCUCCUAACAGGUAGACACAGGCCCCAGCUCCCUCCUAACAGGUAGACACAGGCCUCAGCUCCCUGCUAACAGGCCUCAGCUCCCUGCUAACAGGUAGACACAGGCCCCAGCUCCCUCCUAACAGGUAGACACAGGCCCCAGCUCCCUGCUAACAGGCCUCAGCUCCCUGCUAACAGGCCUCAGCUCCCUGCUAACAGGUAGACACAGGCCCCAGCUCCCUCCUAACAGGCCUCAGCUCCCUCCUAACAGGUAGACGCAGGCCUCAGCUCCCUCCUAAAAGGUAGACACAGGCCUCAGCUCCCUCCUAACAGGCCUCAGCUCCCUACUAACAGGCCUCAGCUCCCUACUAACAGGCCUCAGCUCCCAACUAACAGGUAGACACAGGCCCCAGCUCCCUCCUAACAGGUAGACACAGGCCCCAGCUCCCUCCUAACAGGUAGACACAGGCCUCAGCUCCCUCCUAACAGGUAGACACAGGCCUCAGCUCCCUCCUAACAGGUAGACACAGGCCCCAGCUCCCUCCUAACAGGUAGAGACAGGCCUCAGCUCCCUGCUAACAGGCCUCAGCUCCCUGCUAACAGGUAGACACAGGCCUCAGCUCCCUCCUAACAGGUAGACACAGGCCUCAGCUCCCUCCUAACAGGUAGAGACAGGACUCAGCUCCCUGCUAACAGGACUCAGCUCCCUCCUAACAGGUAGACACAGGCCUCAGCUCCCUGCUAACAGGCCUCAGCUCCCUCCUAACAGGUAGACACAGGCCUCAGCUCCCUCCUAACAGGUAGACACAGGCCCCAGCUCCCUCCUAACAGGCCCCAGCUCCCUGCUAACAGGCCCCAGCUCCCUGCUAACAGGUAGACACAGGCCUCAGCUCCCUCCUAACAGGUAGAGACAGGACUCAGCUCCCUGCUAACAGGCCCCAGCUCCCUGCUAACAGGACUCAGCUCCCUGCUAACAGGACUCAGCUCCCUGCUAACAGGACUCAGCUCCCUGCUAACAGGCCUCAGCUCCCUGCUAACAGGUAGAGACAGGACUCAGCUCCCUGCUAACAGGACUCAGCUCCCUGCUAACAGGCCUCAGCUCCCUGCUAACAGGUAGAGACAGGACUCAGCUCCCUGCUAACAGUCCUC
This is a long non-coding RNA of Oncorhynchus keta (chum salmon), 2454 nucleotides long. RefSeq lists it as uncharacterized. The transcript has 4 exons. The record is from RefSeq and is a predicted model, not a curated record. Lineage: Eukaryota; Metazoa; Chordata; Actinopteri; Salmoniformes; Salmonidae.